GUAGACCCGAAACCGGGUGAUCUAGCCAUGCCCAGGGUGAAGGUGCGGUAACACGCACUGGAGGCCCGAACCCACUCCUGUUGCAAAAGUAGGGGAUGAGGUGUGGCUAGGAGUGAAAAGCUAAUCGAACCCGGAGAUAGCUGGUUCUCCUCGAAAGCUAUUUAGGUAGCGCCUCAGGUAUCACUGUUGGGGGUAGAGCACUGUUAUGGCUAGCGGGUCAUCGCGACUUAGCAAACCAUGGCAAACUCCGAAUACCAACACGUGCAAGCCUGGGAGACACACGGCGGGUGCGAACGUCCGUCGUGAAAAGGGAAACAACCCAGACCCGCAGCUAAGGUCCCAAAGUCAUAGCUAAGUGGAAAACGAUGUGGGAAGGCAUAGACAGCCAGGAGGUUGGCUUAGAAGCAGCCAUCCUUUAAAGAAAGCGUAAUAGCUCACUGGUCGAGUCGGCCCGCGCGGAAGAUUUAACGGGGCUAAGCUAUGCACCGAAGCUCGGGGUUCACACGCAAGUGUGAGCGGUAGAGGAGCGUUCCGUACGCCUGUGAAGGUGGAUCGUAAGGUCUGCUGGAGGUAUCGGAAGUGCGAAUGCUGACAUGAGUAACGAUAAAGGGGGUGAAAAGCCCCCUCGCCGAAAGCCCAAGGUUUCCUCGCGCAACGUUCAUCGGCGCAGGGUUAGUCGGUCCCUAAGGCGAGGCGGAAACGCGUAGUCGAUGGGAAUCUGGUUAAUAUUCCAGAACCGCUCGUGAUUGCGAUGGAGUGACGGAGAAGGUUAGGUGUACCGGGCGUUGGUUGUCCCGGGGAAAGGCGGUAGGU
Molecule: ribosomal RNA, 813 nt
Filed under: Niabella sp.
Lineage: Bacteria; Pseudomonadati; Bacteroidota; Chitinophagia; Chitinophagales; Chitinophagaceae
Description: partial 23S ribosomal RNA
Rfam family: Bacterial large subunit ribosomal RNA
Source: RNAcentral